AAAACAAAAUACUAGGUCAGUUUUCAAUUUUUUGCAGUGUGCUCUUCAAACUGCCUCUCCAUCUCCAUUUGCUUCUUCCUAUCUACCAUCAGGACAGACUGCAGGACCGUUUGUUUAUGGAUUAAGUGAGUUGGCGAAGCUGAAGCACGUAAUGAAAUAUAUACAGAUCUUUAAAACGGAGUGGAUGAAGGAUAAAAACUAAAGGAAUAAAGCAACCUCACAAAAAAAAAAAAAAAAAAAAAAAAGUUCAAAUGUAAUGAAAGUGUCCUGCAGUAUCUGUAAACGCAUGCAAUGUUCUACUCAGAAUCCUGGUUAAAACAGAGCGACUGCAGAUAACAGAGGAUCCGCUGGUGUCCCUAAACGCCUCUCAGCUGUAACCUGACCUUAGCACAGACAGUGCGUACAGUAAAGCGUGGUAGCCCUGCAGAUAAACCCCAUCACCAGCUGCACCCAUCUCUCCAGACUCACUCCUCACUCUCCCUUUUUUUUUUUUUUUUACUUUCUCUGCGUCUCUUCCCGCGUCUCAUUAAACGCAGCGCUAACAACAGUCACCAUCGUUUUUCGACGCUGCGCUUUCCGGCUGACCCUGAACGCAUCGCCUGCAGAACCAACCCCCAGUUAAGUUCAAGCUCUUCUGCACCAGCUGAGGAAUUCCCUGCUAGGGUGCUACAGCAAAUAGAGUCUGAUCAUCUGAGGUGUCUCUACAAAUAUGUGUCCAGGAGGAAGCGGCGGAGCACAUACCAGCCCCUCCACCACUUCACUGCUGCACUCUUUCCUCUGUCCAUCUCAUAUCUACUCUGUGUCAACUUAAAGUCUUUUUUUUUUUUUUUUUUCCUCAGAUGAGAAAAAAAAGAGAAGCACCUCUGUACAAAAUAUACAG
Sphaeramia orbicularis (orbiculate cardinalfish) is the source of this 880-nucleotide long non-coding RNA. RefSeq lists it as uncharacterized. The transcript is spliced from 2 exons. The record is from RefSeq and is a predicted model, not a curated record. NCBI's taxonomy places the organism in Eukaryota, Metazoa, Chordata, Actinopteri, Kurtiformes, Apogonidae.